Long non-coding RNA from Lolium rigidum, 4076 nucleotides. RefSeq lists it as uncharacterized. NCBI's taxonomy places the organism in Eukaryota, Viridiplantae, Streptophyta, Magnoliopsida, Poales, Poaceae. The transcript is spliced from 4 exons. The record is from RefSeq and is a predicted model, not a curated record.
GGUGCCGCUCAGAUCUCGGUUCUCUACAAUGGUGUCCCUCGGGUCGGCGGUGGCAGCUGGCGCCGACACGCUCUUCGCCGACUACAAGCCCACCACCGCAUUCCUCUUCCCCGGCCAGGUACGUUUCAGAUACACGCUCCGCACUGCGAGAACCCAGACAUGUACCGUAGCUUGUUCAAAUGGCAGUCGUUCUGCAAUUAUCCAUGCGAGGGUGUUUCAAUUUUGAAAUUAUUGAUAUCAAGUCAAGCUGAUAUAAAAUCUAGCAAAUCUGAAGGAAGGUAAUGGCAAGUGUGUAUUCAGUUGAUGCUAAGUUGGUUAGCUGUGCAAGUUGGAAAAUAAAAUAACUUCACUGCUUCCUUCAGUUUUGGCGUGGAUCAUAUUUUGUCCUGAAGAUUUGUGAUUACUAGAUAAAACCCUGUGUUGCCCCGGGGCUGCUGCUGUGAAACAUUUGCUAAAAAAUGGCUAGACAAAAUGUAUGCAAGGUAUGAGGAAUUGUAAUAAAUAAGUUCAUUGAGGGUUGAGCCUAUUUCCUCGCCUGCGGCGACUGCUUUCGAGGUUCAGGAAUUGAUCUUUCGAUUUCACCUCCGAGAGCUAGCGACCGGGGGUUUGGGCGUUUCCAGGGUCUAGAUCGAGGUCUGCUAUCUCGCUGCCCGCAAUGCCGCAGAGGUUGGGCGUCAAUUGCUAGGGUUUUGCUUGCGGACUUGCGGAGAGAGAGCCGGGGAUCGUCUCGAAUGCGGCGGCAUAUCCGCGGUCCGGUGAUUGGUUUGGUUUUCCCGGAGCAGCGCCUACUCGAUUUGGUUUCCUGCUAAGCUCGUGAAGGGAGGGGGGUUUUGGGGGAGAAUUUGGUGAUUCGGUUGCAAUGUCCGGGUCUAGCUCAAGGGGGUGGCUGUCACCGGCGUCUGGCGGUGGAGACUCUGAGCCGAGGUCCGCGGGGAGCAGGACCAGGUCUGUGUCUGCUACCCGGGGCCGGAAGGAAUCGUGGAGGCCUGGGAGGAAUUCCGUCGCCGCAACAGCAGUGGAAGAGAAGAAGCUGGCUGAUGUGCCUACAUUGCUGCCGUCCCUCAGCGUACCCACAUGGGAUGCGCCGGCAGGAGUUGCUGCUGCGCUCAGGGUUCUCUCUUGACGUGUCGUGCUCAUCGGACUCGUUCUGCAGCCGGGCGUCCACAGGGCGGAUCGGGAGGCCAGUGUUCGGGCCGAGGAAGAAGAAGGCCAUCUCUUAGACUGAUCAUAAGCUUGCUGCCAUGCUGGAAAUGGAGGCUGGAUAGGCUUCUCCGGGUUACCCUUCUGGUCCGAAGAGGAGGUGUGCGUGGGUGACAGCAAAUGCAGGUUCUUCACGACUUCCAUUGGAGACGUUAGUUACUGGUAUCAGCAUACAUCUAAAGGUGCAUAUGGACCUUCUCCGCUGCAGAUCAUUGUUAGCCUGUACCAGAAUGCGCCACAGUUGGAUUAAACGUAUCGCUGCCAUUACGAAAUAUUAGGAUGACACUGGCAGUUAGUGAUCCAUUUUCUAUAGAGGGUUUUCUCUACAGAACAAUGUUUGUUCACAUUCCAGGGGGAUUUCGUGGAUCGGCUCCGUUAUGCUCAGUUUCUAGGAGAGCACUGUGAGCUAGCAGUGUAUAUGGAACAUCGUUGGCAGGUCAGUUGAUAUUGACCAUUCUAAUGGUGGUGACCUGUGUACCUGUAUACUAAUUCAUGUGAGUAUGUCGAGGGUAACAAAACUAAAUUUAAUUGAUAUUGUGAAAAUUUUCCCUUGAAGGCUUACAUACUUUUUCCUACUACAGUUCAGAUAUUCAGCAAACAUCCUCCGUCCAAUGCUCCCUUUGAGGGUUGGUUCAAGAAGUGGCUCUUAAUUUUUGGUGUUGGUGUCUUGCGAGAUUCAUUUAAUGUUCAGGAACAAAAUUUAUUUUGGCACUUGGUACACAUGGUUUUUUGCUCAUUAACAUCGUAUACCAAAUUAUUUAGUGUUCUGAAUUAUUGGAGGUACACUCAGUUUGAGAUCGGUUUUCUUAGUGCCAACUUCAGUUCAUGGUGGCAUGUUCUUUCCAGGUAGUGUUUAACUGCAUAUUGUUAUUGUUAACACACCAUGAUUAUGCGUCGUUAAUUUUUGCGACUGGUGUCUUGCGAGAUUCAUGUAAUGUUCAUGAAUGAAGUUUAUUUUAGCACUUGGUACACACGGUUUUUUUGUUCAUUAACACAUAUACCAUAUUGUUUAGUGUUAUGAAGGAUUGGAGGUACACUCAGAUUGAGAUCGGUUUUCUUUAGUGCCAACUUCAGCUCAUGCUGGCAUUUCUUUCAGGAAAUUGGGGUACAAGCUGGACACUAAAGGAGACACAGAGUCAUUGGAAGGGAAGCCAUGGGUCGGCGCUCAACGACUUUUGGCCUGGGAAAAGAAGCUUAUGCAGGAGGUCACGAUAUUUCUUCUAUCCGGUCAUCACGCCAGCAGGACAACAUGGGCAUAGCCUACUGGCCUACAUCACAAUGUUCUGCUUCAUCGACAUCAUCAGCGUGAAAUUGCUCCAGGUUCCAAAUUUUUGAUCUACAUGCAUGUAAUUCAUGUUCUCUGCAUCUAUACUUCUCCUUGACAUUGUUACAAUCAGGUUCCAGUGCUGUGAUUAUUUAUUCUCUCAGAAUGUGUGUCAAUCAGUCUGAAGUCGACCAUAGUUUCUUCAGUGCAAUAUGCAUUUCUCACAAGAGCAAAUGUUAUUCUAGCUCCAAUUUCUUCUUUAGGCAAGCUGGCCCAAAAAAAUAACUUAUGAUUCUCCUCCUUGUUUUAAAAGGUAAAACAUGUGGCAUGCAUUAAUAUGGUUGUAGCAUCAUACUAAUUUGCAAAGCUUCAAACUCGACACUGAGGUGAUUUGGGCUUGAACAUAAUAUUUUCCCUAUAUCUCUUUAUGGUUCAAGCCACACAAUACACAUAAUAUAGUAUAUUUUUACCUUCAGAAAUACUAUACAUAUUUGAUGUAUUUUUUUUGUUGGUGAUAUGAACUAAAUUUGGUGUAGUUUUUGUGUAUUCAAAAAUCCACUAUGGAUUUGUUGUAUAUUUUAGCCUAUCUACGAUGUGUGUUCUAUUUUUUAUGUGACUAUUGGUUAUUAGAAUUCUGCAACAUGGCAAAAUUUGAUAUUUUUUUUGAGUUUAAUAUGAAGCAAUGGUGGAUUUUUUUCAUAAUUUUAUGAGUUGAAUAUGAAGCAAUGGUGGAUUGUUCACCAUAUUUGUAUUCCAAGGUUCAAGAAAGCGGAAAGCUUAAGUGCAUAAGCGGAGCAAUUGGCUCGUGCCUAGAGUUUUGGUCGCUUAAGCGGCUCUAAGUGUGCUUAAGCGUUUCUAAAAUUUACUGAUUUUAGUUGGAGGCUUGCAUCUGGGAGCAGAGUAGAGAGAACCAUCAAUUCUGAACAAGCAUAUGUGUUUGUGCGCGGGGGCAAAAGAUCAGAUGGAACUAUAGAAGACAGGAACCAAUGGAUAUAAAGGCUUACAUCACCAUUAUCUACUACCAUACCAAGGUGUUUGUGUUUCGAAAUCCUAGGCUUGUCGUUGAAGCCAUGGAGAGACAAUGGGGGCAGGUAUGGCGAAGAUAGGAUGAAGAAGCUGCACGCCAAGGACGCGCUGGAGUUCUUCAACCAGGUCAUGGUGGAUCAACCCUUGCUCCUGUUCCUGAUCCCGCUCAGCUCUCGAAGCUCAAGUUAAUGGAGCUCCCGGAGGCACAUGCCAAAGAGGCGAGAGCCAGCGUGAAAGAUAAAGAUCCCAAUGAGAGCUAGAAGGUGGACUGGCGCUCAUGAGCAAGCUGCAGAUGUUUUAAUUAGAAGACAACCAAAGCAAGAAUUUAAAUACGUUAGAUGGUCUUUAGAGCUCACAAAGGAUUCACAUGAUAUAACCUUUUCGUUUUGGAAACUAUUACAUUUUUUUCCGGUGAGUACUUCAAGUAGAAGAUGAAAACAUAGGAACAUGUGCUAAGUGGCGAAGCAACAUAAUCCAGUUCAGUGGCAUGGCUUUCUCUAUUUUCUUAGGAAAUCUGGGUGAUUCUUCUGUUUGCUGAUACAGUCCCCGAGUGAAUAAUGAACUUUUCUCCUGUCACAAACUUUCA